This is a non-coding RNA of Bemisia tabaci, 1701 nucleotides long. Lineage: Eukaryota; Metazoa; Arthropoda; Insecta; Hemiptera; Aleyrodidae. The record is from RefSeq and is a predicted model, not a curated record.
GGAAUGAUAUUGAUUUGGUCUACUUCAUAAAAAUAAAAUGUGAGCGUAGAUUUUUAAACACCGCAAACGAGAUACGUGGUUUGGUAGUUUCACCGUCGAUAUGCGUCAUCAUCGAGAAAUUGGGGUAACAAGCAAUUCUUUCUUGUAUCCGACUCACCGUCAUAAGUUUUUGCACAAAUAAAUAUUUAAAAUUUCGAUUUUCAUAUUUCCCAACGUUCCGCGAUGUUGGCUCCAGCCACUAUCUCCAGCGGUUCGAUCCUGGCCGCUUGGCCGCCGCUUUGGCUGAGCUGAAGAAUGGUGCUCCUGCCUCUGUCUCACCAUUUGUUUUUGGCAUUGCUAGUGUUCAGUGAUAGCACACUAUUUCUCGGAACUUUGAACGAGAAAAUGAUUUGAUUGAUGGCACGAUCUCACAUGUUCACACCCGUCAUCUGCACAUGGCAGUCGCACUUGCGAUAUUUCCGUAAUCGUAUCCCACUCUACCGAUCGCUGAAAACCAACGCGUUUUAAUGGCAUCAUUUCCGUAACCAGGGUGGGAAUAAUACACUAGAAAUAAAUAUUCAAUCACCUGUAGAGUCCUGCGAAUAGUGUCCUCAGAAAUAGCAAAGCUUUACAUGUUGCAUUACACGGUCUCAACUUGUAUAAUACUUAACUUGAUUGGGAGAUUUUUAGAUUAUCACGUAUCACCUUGAGUUAAGUCUCAGAAGUCGGUGACUUAAUCAAAAUUGGUCAGACGAAACCUGAGAAAGUCAAGGAACUAUUUACUCUGAAUUCUUGUUGCUACCCUAUUCACUGCUAGCAAUUUGAAACAUUCAUGCUUUGCUGUUUGUGUCUUCAUUUGUAAGUGAAAAGUUCCAUUUUUUUCUGUAAAAUGUUACUGUAUCCUCCUCUUAACUUUUUUUGAGGGGAUGGUCUUCAUUGGUCCUAUUGACACUUAAGUGGUGGCAUAUUUUUCCAAUCUUUUUUACAUUUAAGAAUCCUUUUGAUGUACCUUUUUGUCUUUAAUUAUUGUAAGCGAUUUCGAGAUAACCAUCUAUUUUUUUUCCUGUUAUAUUUUAUGUAUUAAUUUAUUUUUUUAUGUAUGAAGACUAAUUGGCAGUGUUUGGUGAAAAGUAAUCAAGUGUUAUUUUUAAAAUCAUUGAGAUGAUGGUAGCGUUUGGCUUAGCCAGAAGCAUAUUAUUCUCUGAUUAAUUUUCUUCAAGUUUAUGUAAUCUUAUUUUUUACCAAGCGGAAAUUUGAACGGAGGAGCUUGGAGGACAAGGCGUAUUAGUGCGGUUUUUGCUAUUUCGGAAAAUGCGUGUUCAAAGUUUGGAAAUUACAUAGAUCCUUACGACGGAGAUGAAGUUCAAACUGCCUUUUUGGCGCUUAAAAAUUGGAAUUUAAGAGCGAAUUUUUCACGGAAUAUGCAUUAAGACUAGUUUUACCUGAAAUCUUUGUAUCUCAAUUUUAUCCAAUACUGCACUUUCAUAAGUACAGGUGCCUUGUCCUCCAAGCCCCUCAAUUAAUAGUAGUUCCUUUUCAUUGAGCCCCAUGGAAGAGUAAAACUUCGAACAAAUUUUUCUUUCCUCUCAGGCCUUCUCUUUUUGCUUCUCCAUCCCGAACUCUGCCAAAUACAACGAUAAGAAUAAUUGAUGUGAAAAAAUGUGAGCAUUCUUUACCUUAAGCAAUUACUUAAUGAAAUAAACUCCUCAUGAUCUCAAACUA